This 1554-nucleotide unclassified non-coding RNA is filed under the name Hevea brasiliensis (rubber tree). The record is from RNAcentral. Lineage: Eukaryota; Viridiplantae; Streptophyta; Magnoliopsida; Malpighiales; Euphorbiaceae.
GGACACCCUGCAUUUUCAACUUUGAAAACAUCUAGUCCUUGUCUUAAGGCUCUUAAAAGUUCAUUUAUAAGAAUACAAAGACAGGAUAUAUACAAAUAAUAAUAGUAAUUCAUUCUAUUUGAAGCAUAAUAGAUUUAUACACAAAACACACCAAAUUAUUAAAUAGUAAUAUAGCUCUACACGAAGUAAACAACAAAGACUACUGGACAGGAUGACCUAUUGCCAAUCUACAUAUCAACCUUACACUUCGCAUGUUGGUACUUUAACCAAGUUAAUUUAACAUCAGACUCCUCCAAGGAAACAUACACCUCUCUCUUUGCCCUGGAAAGAAAUAAGUCUGUAGAAAAUAAAUGAAGUUCACUGCCUUUCACAAUCUCUGGUAUAGAAUGUAGGUCAGCCAAGACCUCAGGUAUGCUGCAUCCUGGAAGAUCUGUCCUCUUGGAAGUCACACUACUCCUACCUUCAACAGUAGCUACCAGUCUAUUAAUCUGCCGAGAUAACUUUGCUAAACCUUCUAACUGCGCCCUUCCUAUUUUUAUUUUCUUACUUGUAUCAGUUUGUGUAUCAGAUUCAUUGAUCCUUUUUUGUUUCCUCUCAAUCAUUUUCUCCUCAAGCUGAUUGCCAUCUUGCUCUAAAGUGGCUUCUGUGCAUUGCGUAGGGAGAGCUGAUGAAACAUUAGCACCAUCCAUCAUUUCUGAUGAUAGAUUAGCACCAUCCACAAUUUGCUCCAAACUCUCAACAAAAUUAGGUUCAUUUCUUGAAUUGCCACUCCCUUCUAAUGGUAUUGCAUUACUACUAGGUGACUCAUCAUUGCCAUCCUUAUCUGAAGGCAUAACGUUAUCACUAGGUGAUUCAUCAUUGUCAUCCUUAUCAUUUGGUACAACAAUCACUGAAGAAGUCCAAGCACAGAUUCCAGUAGCCCCCAUAUCCAUGAACAAGACAUCAUAUUUUGCACAAAGUUCAGGUUCAAUACCCAUGUAUCGAAAUUUUUUAGCUGCUGGCAUAACCUUAAUCUUUUCAUCCCACCAAGAAUCAGAAGCAUCCAGUGUUUGCCUUUUCGUAUCCCAACCAAGUUCGGUCUCUUCAGCUAUCAAAGCUUUCCAAAUCUUCCAUUCUUUUUUACUUCCAUCCCACUUGUUUUUCAACUGUUUUUUGGUAAAAUUUAGCCCGCUUUCCUUCUGGAAGUGUUUGAUUACAUACUUCCAACCUUGCUUUGUAAAGUGAGUCCCAGGUCGCAUGCCCAUUUGAAAGGCUCGGAUACAAAUAUCACAAAAGAUAUGCACCAUCUCCUUAUUCCACACAGCCUUAGCAGCUCUAUUUUCAUUUUCCUGACUUUGCUUGUUCUUUCCCAUAGAUUUAAAUCUUUCUACUUGAAAUAUAUAGGGACAAUCAGCAUUCAUCCGCCCAGCCUUCGCCUUCUUGGGCGAGUUUGAGAAAGAUUAGGGAUUAGGGAUUUUGGAUGAUGUUACAUUGAAAGAAAUCAGGGGGUUUUAUUUCUCAGGCGGAGAGUUAAUUUGGGAGAGAGAAACGUCCCUCGUGGACAAAGUGGCGGGG